GGGCUUGCUUCGGCAGCACAUACACUACAAUUGGAAUGAUUCAGAGAAGAUUAGCAUGGCCCCUACACACGGAUGACAUGCCAAUUUGUGAAGCGUCCAUAUUUUUA
This 107-nucleotide small nuclear RNA is filed under the name Myotis brandtii (Brandt's bat). The record is from RNAcentral. Lineage: Eukaryota; Metazoa; Chordata; Mammalia; Chiroptera; Vespertilionidae.